Cinara cedri is the source of this 771-nucleotide non-coding RNA. The record is from the annotation of a GenBank genome assembly. Lineage: Eukaryota; Metazoa; Arthropoda; Insecta; Hemiptera; Aphididae.
CGAAAAAAAAAAAAACGAUUAUUAUUUAUUAUGUGCGCUCGCGCGCGCGUGUGUGUGAAAAAAAAAAAAAAUCACCGCGACGGCGGGCCGUAACGCGUCGUAUAUUAUAUACUGUUUAACGGCGGCGGUCCGGGAGCGUGUAUACUUUGACGAGAAAUUCGUAAAACCAACUGACGAGUAGGAAAAAAAAAAACCCCGCGGUACGUGCGUUGGUACGUAUGCGAGGUACGCACGGGAUGCGUCGUUGUACACGUUGCGCCGGGACUACGACGGCGACACGAGAACCAUAUUGUGUCUCGAAAUCGCGGCUUCUCGCUCCGGGUAUUGAAUUUUUUUUAUUAUUAUUAUUAUUAUUUUUUUUUUUUUUUAUUUAUUACAAUACAAUUUGAAAUCGGACGGACGUUCGUCGAGUGUGCGGUUGGCGGCGGCGGCGUAGAGACAGAUAGAAAAAUAAAAAAUCGAAAUAAACGAACGAACGAACGAACGAACGAACGACGGGUCUGACGGCGGCGACGGCGGUUAUUAUCUUUCGCAAAGCGUAUUAACUGCUACGGCGGCGGCGGCGUGGGUACGAUAACGGCGGUGCCAGCACGCCAGCUGAUCGGGACGUCGCAUUUCGGCCGCGACAAACAAAACGACGACGUGUGCCUGCUAUGCGGCGCGUCCGGUGCGGUGUCUCUCGUGGGCCCGAUCGUCGCCGUCGACGGCGCGGAAAACCGGCGUGCGGUGCCUGUGUGCGCCGCUGUGCUGCGGCGAGCCGAGUCGUAGUCG